Molecule: long non-coding RNA, 357 nt
Organism: Globicephala melas (long-finned pilot whale)
Lineage: Eukaryota; Metazoa; Chordata; Mammalia; Artiodactyla; Delphinidae
Source: RefSeq, a predicted model, not a curated record
UAAGAAUCCUCAGCAAUACUUUGAUGAAAGCCUCCACCGAAAAGGAAGCCCCAGGACAUAAAGUCAUCCUUAAGCACAGAUAUAAGGCAGAAGUGCAUUUCCAAUGGCCAUGUGAAUGGGAAUUUCUAGGAAUCAGGGGCGAUUUAUGGUAUCCCUCCCUGCUGCCACCAAAACCAGUUAUGCUCCAGAUGGGUGGGAGGCUAUAUGGACCUCAUUCUCAUGAGAACUCUAGCGAACUCCAACGGUCAAGUAAUCCCGAGUGCUCUGCAGACCAGCAGUACUGACAUCAUCCGGGAGCCUGUGAGAAAAGUUGAAUCUCUGGACCCACCCCAGUUCUACAUUGCUACAAGAUGCCAG